UAGCUCAGUGAGUUGAGUGUGGCGCUAACAACGCCAAGGUCAUGGGUUCGAUUCCCGU
This 58-nucleotide transfer RNA is filed under the name Apaloderma vittatum (bar-tailed trogon). It matches the Rfam family "tRNA", at positions 8 to 63 of the family's 71-position model. From Rfam's summary of the family: Transfer RNA (tRNA) molecules are approximately 80 nucleotides in length. Their secondary structure includes four short double-helical elements and three loops (D, anti-codon, and T loops). Lineage: Eukaryota; Metazoa; Chordata; Aves; Trogoniformes; Trogonidae. The record is from Rfam by way of RNAcentral.